This 453-nucleotide ribosomal RNA is filed under the name uncultured Porphyromonadaceae bacterium. RNAcentral describes it as "partial 16S ribosomal RNA". It matches the Rfam family "Bacterial small subunit ribosomal RNA", at positions 341 to 792 of the family's 1533-position model. Lineage: Bacteria; Pseudomonadati; Bacteroidota; Bacteroidia; Bacteroidales; Porphyromonadaceae. The record is from RNAcentral.
ACGGAAGGCAGCAGUGGGGAAUAUUGGUCAAUGGGCGGAAGCCUGAGCCAGCCAAGUCGCGUGAAGGAUGAAGGUAUUAUGUAUUGUAAACUUCUUUAGCAGCAGAGUAAUAAGGAGGUCGUGACCUCCGAUGCAAGUAUGCUGAAAAUAAGGAUCGGCUAACUCCGUGCCAGCAGCCGCGGUAAUACGGAGGAUCCGAGCGUUAUCCGGAUUUAUUGGGUUUAAAGGGUGCGCAGGCGGCCCUGUAAGUCAGCGGUUAAAUCGUGAGGCUCAACCUCAUCCCGCCGUUGAUACUGCAGGGCUUGAUUGCGGUCGAGGUUGGCGGAAUUCGUCGUGUAGCGGUGAAAUGCAUAGAUAUGACGAAGAACACCGAUUGCGUAGGCAGCUGACCAGACCGUAAAUGACGCUCAUGCACGAAAGUGCGGGGAUCGAACAGGAUUAGAUACCCUGGUA